AUUGAACGCUGGCGGCAGGCCUAACACAUGCACGUCGAGCGGUUGAGGUAGCUUGCUACCGAUGCAGCGGCGAACGGGUGAGUAAUACAUGGGAAUCUGCCUGGUAGUGGGGGACAACGUCUCGAAAGGGACGCUAAUACCGCAUACGCCCUACGGGGGACAGGGGGGGAUCUUCGGACCUCUCGCUAUCAGAUGAGCCCAUGUCAGAUUAGCUAGUUGGUGGGGUAAAGGCUCACCAAGGCGACGAUCUGUAACUGGUCUGAGAGGAUGAUCAGUCACACUGGAACUGAGACACGGUCCAGACUCCUACGGGAGGCGGCAGUGGGGAAUAUUGGACAAUGGGCGCAAGCCUGAUCCAGCCAUGCCGCGUGUGUGAAGAAGGCCUUAGGGUUGUAAAGCACUUUCAGUGGGGAGAAAGGUAAUUCACCUAAUACGUGAGUUAAUUGAUGUUACCCACAGAAGAAGCACCGGCUAACUCUGUGCCAGCAGCCGCCGUAA
Molecule: ribosomal RNA, 498 nt
Filed under: uncultured bacterium
Lineage: Bacteria
Description: partial 16S ribosomal RNA
Rfam family: Bacterial small subunit ribosomal RNA
Source: RNAcentral